This 842-nucleotide ribosomal RNA is filed under the name uncultured Chloroflexota bacterium. RNAcentral describes it as "bacterial SSU rRNA". It matches the Rfam family "Bacterial small subunit ribosomal RNA", at positions 28 to 895 of the family's 1533-position model. Lineage: Bacteria; Bacillati; Chloroflexota. The record is from RNAcentral.
GGUAAACGCUGGCGGCGUGCCUUAUGCAUGCAAGUCGAACGGUCUCGAUUUAUCGAGAUAGUGGCAGACGGGUGAGUAACGCGUAAGUAACCUACCCCUAAGUAGGGGAUAACUCCGAGAAAUUGGAGCUAAUACUGUAGUGGUGAUGGGGGUAAGGCUCCAUCACUAAAGCCUUAGGGCGCUUAGGGAGGGGCUUGCGUCCGAUUAGCUAGUUGGCAGGGUAAUGGUCUACCAAGGCGAUGAUCGGUAGCUGGUUUGAGAGGACGGUCAGCCACACUGGGACUGAGACACGGCCCAGACUCCUACGGGAGGCAGCAGCAAGGAAUUUUGUGCGAUGGGCGAAAGCCUGACACAGCGACGCCGCGUGGGGGAUGAAGGCCUUCGGGUUGUAAACCCCUUUUCCCAGGGAAGAAUAAUGACGGUACCUGGGGAAUAAGCCUCGGCUAACUACGUGCCAGCAGCCGCGGUAAUACGUAGGAGGCAAGCGUUAUCCGGAUUUACUGGGCGUAAAGCGGGCGCAGGCGGCCUUUCAAGUCGGAUGUAAAAUCUCCCGGCUUAACUGGGAGGGAUCAUUCGAUACUGUUGGGCUAGAGGACAGCAGGGGGAGGUGGAAUUCCCGGUGGAGUGGUGAAAUGCGUAGAUAUCGGGAGGAACACCAGCGGCGAAGGCGGCCUCCUGGGCUGUUUCUGACGCUGAGGCCCGAAAGCGUGGGGAGCGAACAGGAUUAGAUACCCUGGUAGUCCACGCUGUAAACUAUGGACACUAGGUAUGGGGAGUAUCGACCCUCUCCGUGCCGAAGCUAACGCUCUAAGUGUCCCGCCUGGGGACACGACCGCAAGGUU